GGUGGCGUAGCUCAGCCUGGUGAGAGCGCGGCCCUGUCACGGCCGAGGUCGCCGGUUCGAAUCCGGUCGUCAUCG
Molecule: transfer RNA, 75 nt
Filed under: Dactylosporangium aurantiacum
Lineage: Bacteria; Bacillati; Actinomycetota; Actinomycetes; Micromonosporales; Micromonosporaceae
Also listed under: 1 other name
Description: tRNA-Asp
Rfam family: tRNA
About the family: Transfer RNA (tRNA) molecules are approximately 80 nucleotides in length. Their secondary structure includes four short double-helical elements and three loops (D, anti-codon, and T loops).
Source: RNAcentral